This 7962-nucleotide unclassified non-coding RNA is filed under the name Lytechinus variegatus (green sea urchin). RNAcentral describes it as "uncharacterized LOC121414350, transcript variant X2". The record is from RNAcentral. Lineage: Eukaryota; Metazoa; Echinodermata; Echinoidea; Temnopleuroida; Toxopneustidae.
AUCUCCCAAUUUUUCCUUUUCCUUUUUACGAGACACCAUUGGAAAUUUUACGGCUACCAUGAAGUCGUUCGGAAUUUAUGCUAAUUUGUUCUGUAGAAAACGUGUUCGCAGAAGCCAUGUUAUGUUCAAGCUGAAGGGAUGUUUGAAAGAUGAAAGUCAUCUUAUGAUGAAAUUUAGUUGCCGAGAAAUGCCGCCCAAGAAGUGAGUGUAAAGAUAAAUUAUCAUUUAAUAAUUAUGUAUAAACCAGAAAUGUAUAUUUUGGUUGGAUAUGGAAGAAAACUGGAAUUUACUUGACCUAUGUGUGCGUAGUACGAUACGGUAAUUCGCUGUGCAUAAAAAAUGAAGCGAUACGUGACCGAUAUUGGUACUCGUACACGUAGGUCGAGUUGAAAUUAUAACAUGUAUCAAUUUGGUAUAAAACAGACAUGACAUGGAGAUAAAUGUCGCUCAUUUUAUGAUAAAAGAUAUUGAAUUUCAUAAGGUCAAUUUAGAAAUGGUUCAGAAUUCUGUGUGAUAGAACGAUUAUUUAUUUUACAAACAUAGAGUGGUUAGAAGACUACAUUCUCAGAUAAACAAACAUGAAACAAUGAAUGAGUCGUUUCAUAUAAAAAGAUACCGAUAGUUUUCAUAUUGACUGAAGGUUUCGAUUAAUUUGUGGAAACAGAUAGAAAAGGAAGUUUGAAUUUUACGUUGAUAUGAACGAUGAAGUGUUAUAUUGAUAUUCUGAGGCUUAUAAUUUAUCAAUGAAAGCCUACUUGUUUAGGGAUAGGUUUUUGAUAAUAGGCCAUUAACUUUUUAUUAGCUUUGAUACAAAGGAUAAAAGCCAAGCAUUUGUGAGUUAUUUAUCAAACAGAUAGAAACAAUAGUUUGUGUAUUGUUUUGUAUAAAAUCUAUAACAAGCAUAGAAAUGAUGCAUUGCAGAUACGUCUACUUUUUAUAUACAUUUACAUUAGUCACAUUUAGAUUAUCCUUCAAGGAAGUGUGAAGGUUAGCUCAAGGUCAAAUGUUUUUUUUGGAGGUUAAAUGCUAUUUGAGCCUAAGGAAAUAGGCUCAUGUAAUUAGAAAUUGCCAAGCCAUAUUUUUUAGCUUUAAAUGAUCAAAUGGAAUGCGUGUAACGCAGGUUUUAUUUGAUUAGUCUUAUUCAAGACUGGUGUGUUUAUUUAUGAAUGUGUCUUUGGAUGCAAGACUUAAAUUUAAAGUGACAUACAAAGUGUCAGUCAUAUUAAAAUGACAGGCAAGUUAAACAUAAUUAACGAGAUGAAGCACUUGUGAUUCUCGUAAUUUAGAAUAAUAUGUGUGAGCUUCAAUAAGGACGAAGUUCUUUAAUUUAUGCAAAAAGCAUACCUAUAAAAGUUAAAGUGUUUUGUUAUACACCAAACGUUAGCUUUUCCACAUUUGAAAAGUACAUACAAAUUAUGACAUGGCUAAGACUAGAGGCCUCAUAUCUAUUCGUAUUGAGGCGAAAGCCUUUGACUUACAAUUUAUUGUUCAUUUUCUAUAUAAAUGACAAAAUGACUUGAGAUAUUUGAUAUGUAAAAUCAAAGUCAACAUUUAUUUGUGCAAAUAUUGAACAAAUACUUAUGAUGCAUUCAUUUCUGUUUUUUCUAUACAGAUUGAAUAAAAUUGCAGACUAAUGCAGCCUAUGCAAUUCCAAAGCGGUUUUUCUUGGUCGAUUGUUCUUCCGAUCUCAGUGAUCCAACAAUUCAAUUUCGCUGUUAGACGGGAUACUGGGUGUGUUGAGGAACCAUGACGGAACUGGAAAAGAGCCUCAAGUUGAAGAGAAGAGGUGCCAAGGCCAGGUUUACACGAUUGGGAAAUGCCUUGGAUUUCCUGGUAAAUGAAGAACGCUCUGUUGAUGAUAUAUCCAAGGCAGAGUCGGACUAUGAGGAGGCCUACAAAGAUCUUCAGGUGAAACACGAAGCUCUUACUGAUACCAUUGAAGAUGACUCUGUCUUUGAAGAGGAAGAGAAGUAUAUGGAUGAAUGCCAGAAAGUGUUCCUCAGGUUACAGGUCAAAGUAAAGGAUUACUUGGAAAACUUAGCUGCGGCUAGUGAUGGACAACCUGUAGGAAUGCAAGAUGUACGAGAUGCUUCUCCUAUGACAGAUAGUAGUCAAGCACAUGGAACAAGAGUAGGAACUGAGCCAUCGUGUUUCAAGAUGGAAAGACCUAAGCUACCCAAGUUCACUGGCGACUUAAGGGAGUAUCAUUCUUUUAAGGCUGACUUUCAGCAUGUGGUUCACCGACAGUAUGGAGGAAGAGAUGCUCUAAUGAUCCUUAAGUCCUGUCUUUCUGGAAAGCCACUGCAGAACAUACAAGGACUGGGGCAAGAUUAUGAUGCUGCUUGGAAGCAACUGGAUUUGCUGUACGGCGAUCCACGGAUGAUUGCUGAUGUUAUCGUGAAUGACCUCUCAAAGAUCAAAGGCCUAAAGAAUGGAGAAGAUGAAAGGUUUGUGAACUUUGUGAACCUUGUACGACGAAGCUACAAUUCACUCAACGAGAUUGGCAGAGGUAGUGAUAUGAAUAAUAGCCAUAUGUUAGCCUUGAUCGAGAGGAAGAUGUGUGUAGAGGAUCGACGGCUAUGGUUCCGUUCUCAACAAGGGAACACGUCGCCUACAUUGGAGGUCCUUCUUCAAUUCCUGGAAGUGGAGAUGAAGGCAAGACUGCGGUCUUCAGCACCUGUCAGAAGUGAUGCAAGGUUUAAUGGUGCCGUUAAUCAAAUAUCAACAACAGUAGCAUCACCCAAAAGGACGGAAAACAGAUGCUGGGUGUGCAAAUCCGAUGGGCAUUGGACAGAUCAGUGCACAAGAUUUACAUCCAAGUCCCUAGAUGAGAGAAUGCAAAUGGUCAAAGACAACUAUGCUUGUUUUAGUUGCCUUAAAAAAGCAAGUAAGGAUCAUCGUAUUUCAACUUGCAAGAGAAAGAAACGGUGCACUGAAACAGUUGACGGAGUACAAUGCUCAUACUUCCAUCAUCCAUUACUCCACUCUGGCAAGAAACCCGAAAGAAAAGAAGGAAAUGUUACCAAACAAGUAGGGAUAACAGCAGUUGAUGAUGAUGAGGCCCUUCUUCCAGUUCUGACUGUAGAUGUGAUUGGCAACAGGCGAGCUGCAAGUACAAAUCAAGGAAAUCUAUUAUUAGAUUCUGGAUCACAGACCAGUCUGAUCAGGGAAGCAUUUGCUGAGAAGCUGAUGCUAAAAGGUGUGCCAAUUACUCUUACUAUGAUAAAAGUAGGAGGAACGGAAGAGGUGUUUCAUACUAAGAGGUAUCUGGUUCCUCUGAGAGAGUGUGGGAAGAGUUCAAGACCUAUUGUUAUCAGCGCCAUGAGUAUCCCCUGUAUAUCUGAGAACAUCGCUGCGGUGGAUAACGAGGCUCUUGCAAGGAGGUUCCACCUAAAGAAUGAUGAACUGAAAAGAGGUAGUGGUUCAGUGGACGUCUUAGUGGGUAUUGACAAUGCUAAACUUCAUGGAGGAGAGGUUCGAGAAGAUGGCUACCUCGCAGCUCGUCGAUCUCCUCUCGGCUGGGUGGUGUUCGGCGUAAAACCUACGGAUAAACCUAAGGACAGUAAAGUUUUUCAUAUCAAGAUGAUAUCAAAUCCUGUAGAUCUGACAGACUUUUGGAGUUCGGAGACGAUGGGCGUGAUACCGACGUCCUGUCAUUGUAUGCCGAGCGGUCUCAGUAGACAAGAGGAGAUUGAGGAACAGACGAUCAGAAGUUCUUGCAAGAAAGUAGGAAAUCAGUGGCAAGUCUCCUACCCAUGGAAGAAAGAUCCCAACCUUUUACCAGAUAAUCGGUCACAAGCGGAAAAGAUCUUGGUAACAACAGAGAAGAGACUAGCCCGAAAUGAGGUAUAUGCAGCAGCAUAUAAUGAACAGAUGAACGAAAUGGAAAAUUUAGGGUUUUCCAGAAAGCUUGCUGACAGUGAGAUAGACAGCUACCAAGGGCCAGUACAUUACAUAUCUCACCACGCAGUACUGCGGCCAGAGAAGAAAAGUACACCAGUACGCAUAGUGUUCAACUCUUCUGCUUCUUUUCAAGGCCACACACUGAAUGAGUACUGGAUGAAAGGGCCGGAUCUCCUUAACAGUCUUCUUGGAGUUCUACUUCGAUUCAGAGAGAGGAAAGUAGCUGUGUGUGGUGAUAUAUCUAAAAUGUAUCACAGAGUUCUGGUGCCAGAGUCCGACCAGCAUGUUCAUAGAUUCUUGUGGCGGAACAUGCAAAUUACCCGGUCACCAGACACCUACAUCAAGACUGUUCUGACGUUUGGCGAUAAACCUGCCCCAGCCAUGGCUCAGAUUGCGCUGAGAAAGACGGCCGAGGAAGCAGAGAGUAGACAUCCAGAAGCGGCCCAAGUACUAAAAACCUGUGUCUAUAUGGAUGACAUAUGUGAGUCAGUCACUGAUAAUCCGGAAGCCGAGAGACUCACAAAAGAGAUUGACCAGGUUCUAGCUGAAGGAGGAUUCAAGGUAAAAGGAUGGUUGUCCAAUCAACCAUUAACAGGAAACACCCAAGAGGAUAAAGAGAUGAGACUCCUUGAAACUAUGACAGAGGAAAAGGUUCUGGGUGCAGUAUGGGAGAAUAGCUCUGAUAUGUUCUCCUACAAAGUAAAGAUGGACCGAGAUGAGACAGACGAAGAUGUUAGCCUCAACAAGAGACAAAUAUUGAGCCAGAUAGCACGAGUCUUUGACCCGUUAGGAUUUGUGUCGCCAUUUCUGGUUCGUGCCAAGAUAGGGAUGCAGAAGCUCUGGGAAAAAGGCUAUGAAUGGGAUGAAAAACUGCCAGAAGAAGAUCAGAAGUGGUGGAUAGCCUUUUUCAAGGAAAUGAAAGAGUUGAGUGAGGUUAGGAUAGCUAGAAGCCUCACACCAGCAACAGCUGUUAACAAUCCCAUACUGUGUGUAUUCGCAGAUGCCUCUCAAGACGCUUUCGGGUCAUGCAUCUAUCUCCGAUGGCAGCUUGAAGGAGGGACAUAUGAAGUGAGGUUUGUGGUAGCCAAGUCGAGAGUAGCACCGUUGAAGAAGUUAACCAUGCCACGCCUCGAACUUCAAGCUGCUGUAUUGGCAACAAGACUGUACACCACCGUGAAGAAAGAACUGCGACUAGAGAUUGAAAAGGUGGUUUUCAUGACAGAUAGCCAGAUUGUUUUGUCAUGGGUUAGGAGCCAAAGAAAGCGAUACAAGCCUUUCAUCGCAGUGAGAGUGGCGGAAGUACAAAGCCAGUCUGACCCAGCUCAAUGGCGUUAUGUUCCCGGAAGUUGCAACCCAGCUGAUGAUGUGUCUAGAGGGCUGCCAACAGCAAAACUGGGCAACAGAUGGCUGAAAGGGCCAGACUUCUUGUACACCCCAGAAUGUGAAUGGCCAACUGGUGAUGGUGAAGCUGUACUGGAUGACGAAGCUGUACUUGAAGUGGAAAAUCGAAAGGUCUUUCUGGUUUCCAUGGCAACAAACCAGGAAGUUAUCAACUGUGAAAACUUCUCUAGUUGGAGACGUCUUGUCAGAGUAGCUGCCUACAUAUUGAGAUUUGUGCACAAGUUAAAGGAUGCACUAAAUGCUGACAAGAAAGAUGAUGAUAACCAAUGUUUGACACCAGAGGAGAUACAAGAAGGAGAGAAUAUGCUGAUCAGAGGAGCUCAAACCACCCUGAAAGCACGCCUUGACAAGGGGGAAUUCAAGACUUUGAGCCCCUACACUGAUGAAAAGGGAAUCAUCCGAGUUGGUGGUAGAACGGACAGAUCACUACUAUCAUUUGAUAUGAGACAUCCAGUGCUUUUGCCACGUGAAGACAAGAUAUCGUGGCUCAUAACUAGUGAGAUGCAUCAGGAAGGUCACAGUGGAGUAGCAGCCACUACUGGGAAAGUAAGAAAACGCUACUGGAUUUUGCAGGGACAUAAGCUUGCAAAAAUGAUCAAGUUCAGAUGCACGAAGUGUAGACAGAUGGAACAUGCAGUUGAGAAACAGCUAAUGGCAGAAUUACCUCAGCAAAGAGUAGCCCCUCAGACUCCCCCAUUCUACAAUACAUCUGUUGAUUAUUUUGGUCCAUACAGAGUGAAGAUUACCCGUAACACAACUGCCAAAUACUAUGGGGUAAUUUUCACGUGCCUCAACACAAGAGCAGUACAUCUGGAGAUGGCUACGGACUGCUCAACCAUGGCCUUUCUUCUAGUGAUCAGGCGGUUCUUUGCAAUUAGAGGCCAACCUGCCUAUCUAUUGAGUGACAAUGGUACGCAAUUUGUCGGUGCCGACAGAGAGCUGCGUGAGGUAAUCAGAGGUUGGGAUGCUCAGAAACUAGCUGAAUUCUGUGCAAGUAAGAGAACUGAAUGGAAAUUCACCACUCCUUCGGCGCCUCACCAGAACGGAUGUGCGGAAUCGCUCGUGAAAAGCUGUAAAUACGCCUUGAAGAAAGCCAUCGGAGAACAGCUUUUAACACCAUUUGAGCUAUAUACAUGUUUGUUAGAUAUAGCCAAUCUCAUCAAUCAGCGGCCAAUUGGUAGAAUUCCCAACGAUCCUGAUGAUGGGAGUUACAUUUGCCCAAACGACAUGCUGCUUGGUAGAGCGUCGCGUGAUGUACCUCAAGGCCCCUUUAGAGAUUCGCAGAAUCCUCGACAUCGGGUAGAAUUUGUUCAACAAAUCGUCGACUCCUUUUGGAAGCGUUGGACACGAGAUGUUCUACCUCUAUUAGUGCCUCGAAGAAAGUGGAAUGCGGAUCGUCGGAAUGUUCGUGUUGAUGACAUCGUUAUGCUUGCGGACGCAAACGAGGUUCGAGGAAAGUGGUUGCUAGGUCGGGUCGUUGAAGUGUAUCCCGGUCUAGAUGACAGAGUUCGCAAUGUCAAAGUGAGAACUGCAUCGGGUGAAUAUCGUCGUCCAAUCACCAAAAUCGCAGUUAUAUGCCCUGCUGAAGGUUAUACAGAUGAGUGACGUGUUGCCACCAAGUUAUACACAAGUGUUAAUAGUGUAUUUUUCAGUGUCAAGAAGAAAUAUUUUGUCAUAUAAGUGAAUAUCAAUGAAAAUAUGUUUGCAAUGAUAUUUAUGCAUUUUCUAAGCAUGAAGCACAGCAUAGUUUAUUAUACAAAGUGAAAGAGGAUAUUCACUUCCAUAUUUUUCUUCAUAAUCAAUUUUAUACACAAUAGGUAUUAACAUUCGCAUAUACACAAUAGGUAUUAACAUUCACAUAUACACAAUAGGUAUUAACAUUCGCAAUCAGAUUUCUUCGUGGUGGACCUCGCUCGCGACCAGUUUUCUUUUCGCCGGCAACACGUCAUCUGAACACUAGCGAACUUUUUUUUUGUCAAGACAAGCUCUACGUUGAUACAACUUACAUUUAUACAGACUGAACAUUGACAUUAUUAUACAAGAAGUUCAACAUUGACAUUAUUGACAACAUUGACAUUAUUAUACAAGAAGUUCAACAUUGACAUUAUUGACAACAUUGACAUUAUUAUAUAAGAACAUUCGCAAAGACUGAUCUCAGUUAUAUUGAAACAGUAUUUCAAUGAUGCAAUUAAUGUUUUGAAAGGAUGAUAAUUUUGGAUAUCGUUUUAUGUCAUCUUUUUCAACAUGUAUCAAAUCCAUUUAUUGCUAAUACUGUAUGUAUUUUCUGAAAAGUAAAAAAAAAAGAAAAAUUGUUGAAUAUUGAAUAUUUGCUGAGGCGUAGCCUCAUGGGCGGGGAGGAUGUUUUGUUGUGAAUCUCCCAAUUUUUCCUUUUCCUUUUUACGAGACACCAUUGGAAAUUUUACGGCUACCAUGAAGUCGUUCGGAAUUUAUGCUAAUUUGUUCUGUAGAAAACGUGUUCGCAGAAGCCAUGUUAUGUUCAAGCUGAAGGGAUGUUUGAAAGAUGAAAGUCAUCUUAUGAUGAAAUUUAGUUGCCGAGAAAUGCCGCCCAAGAAAUUGAAUAAAAUUGCAGACUAAUGCAGCCUAUGCAAUUCCAAAGCGGUUUUUCUUGGUCGAUUGUUCUUCAGAUCUCAGUGAUCC